Molecule: ribosomal RNA, 468 nt
Filed under: uncultured bacterium
Lineage: Bacteria
Description: partial 16S ribosomal RNA
Rfam family: Bacterial small subunit ribosomal RNA
Source: RNAcentral
GACGAACGCUGGCGGCGUGCUUAACACAUGCAAGUCGAACGGAAAGGCCCUGCUUUUGUGGGGUGCUCGAGUGGCGAACGGAUGAGUAACACGUGAGUAACCUGCCCUUGACUUUGGGAUAACUUCAGGAAACUGGGGCUAAUACCGGAUAGGAGCUCCUGCUGCAUUGUGGGGGUUGGAAAGUUUCGGCGGUUGGGGAUGGACUCGCGGCUUGUCAGCUUGUUGGUGGGGUAGUGGCUUACCAAGGCUUUGACGGGUAGCCGGCCUGAGAGGGUGACCGGCCACAUUGGGACUGAGAUACGGCCCAGACUCCUACGGGAGGCAGCAGUGGGGAAUAUUGCACAAUGGGCGGAAGCCUGAUGCAGCAACGCCGCGUGCGGGAUGACGGCCUUCGGGUUGUAAACCGCUUUCGCCUGUGACGAAGCGUGAGUGACGGUAAUGGGUAAAGAAGCACCGGCUAACUACGUG